GACGAACGCUGGCGGCGUGCUUAACACAUGCAAGUCACGGGGGGUAGCAAUACCAACCGGCGAACGGGUGCGUAACACGUGAGCAACCUACCUCGAUGUGGGGGAUAGCCGGCCCAACGGCCGGGUAAUACCGCAUACGAUCUCGGCGGGGAGUCCUGCUGAGAGGAAACCUCCGGGGCAUUGAGAGGGGCUCGCGGCCUAUCAGCUAGUUGGCGGGGUAAUGGCCCACCAAGGCUCUGACGGGUAGCUGGUCUGAGAGGAUGGCCAGCC
RNAcentral lists this ribosomal RNA (270 nucleotides) under uncultured bacterium. Its description in RNAcentral is "partial 16S ribosomal RNA". It matches the Rfam family "Bacterial small subunit ribosomal RNA", at positions 28 to 309 of the family's 1533-position model. The record is from RNAcentral.